CGCGGGGUGGAGCAGUUGGUAGCUCGUCGGGCUCAUAACCCGAAGGCCGUCGGUUCGAGUCCGGCCCCCGCUACAA
RNAcentral lists this transfer RNA (76 nucleotides) under Cryomorphaceae bacterium BACL18 MAG-120924-bin36. RNAcentral describes it as "tRNA-Met". It matches the Rfam family "tRNA". Rfam says of the family: Transfer RNA (tRNA) molecules are approximately 80 nucleotides in length. Their secondary structure includes four short double-helical elements and three loops (D, anti-codon, and T loops). Further hydrogen bonds mediate the characteristic L-shaped molecular structure. tRNAs have two regions of fundamental functional importance: the anti-codon, which is responsible for specific mRNA codon recognition, and the 3' end, to which the tRNAs corresponding amino acid is attached (by aminoacyl-tRNA synthetases). tRNAs cope with the degeneracy of the genetic code in two manners: having more than one tRNA (with a specific anti-codon) for a particular amino acid; and 'wobble' base-pairing, i.e. permitting non-standard base-pairing at the 3rd anti-codon position. RNAcentral also lists the same sequence under 3 other names. Lineage: Bacteria; Pseudomonadati; Bacteroidota; Flavobacteriia; Flavobacteriales; Cryomorphaceae. The record is from RNAcentral.